This 1608-nucleotide ribosomal RNA is filed under the name Salmonella enterica. RNAcentral describes it as "partial 23S ribosomal RNA". It matches the Rfam family "Bacterial large subunit ribosomal RNA", at positions 711 to 2215 of the family's 2925-position model. Lineage: Bacteria; Pseudomonadati; Pseudomonadota; Gammaproteobacteria; Enterobacterales; Enterobacteriaceae. The record is from RNAcentral.
AGACCCGAAACCCGGUGAUCUAGCCAUGGGCAGGUUGAAGGUUGGGUAACACUAACUGGAGGACCGAACCGACUAAUGUUGAAAAAUUAGCGGAUGACCUGUGGCUGGGGGUGAAAGGCCAAUCAAACCGGGAGAUAGCUGGUUCUCCCCGAAAGCUAUUUAGGUAGCGCCUCGUGAAUUCAUCUCCGGGGGUAGAGCACUGUUUCGGCUAGGGGGCCAUCCCGGCUUACCAACCCGAUGCAAACUGCGAAUACCGGAGAAUGUUAUCACGGGAGACACACGGCGGGUGCUAACGUCCGUCGUGAAGAGGGAAACAACCCAGACCGCCAGCUAAGGUCCCAAAGUCAUGGUUAAGUGGGAAACGAUGUGGGAAGGCCCAGACAGCCAGGAUGUUGGCUUAGAAGCAGCCAUCAUUUAAAGAAAGCGUAAUAGCUCACUGGUCGAGUCGGCCUGCGCGGAAGAUGUAACGGGGCUAAACCAUGCACCGAAGCUGCGGCAGCGAACGUAUCACCCAAGACAACUUUACGGAGUUGACGAUUGACGGAGCGAAGCGACGUCAAAGCGUUCAUUAAAGUCGAGUUGGCUUAGGGAUACGUUCGUUGGGUAGGGGAGCGUUCUGUAAGCCUGUGAAGGUGGCCUGUGAGGGUUGCUGGAGGUAUCAGAAGUGCGAAUGCUGACAUAAGUAACGAUAAAGCGGGUGAAAAGCCCGCUCGCCGGAAGACCAAGGGUUCCUGUCCAACGUUAAUCGGGGCAGGGUGAGUCGACCCCUAAGGCGAGGCCGAAAGGCGUAGUCGAUGGGAAACGGGUUAAUAUUCCCGUACUUGGUGUUACUGCGAAGGGGGGACGGAGAAGGCUAUGUUGGCCGGGCGACGGUUGUCCCGGUUUAAGCGUGUAGGUGUGUGUUCCAGGUAAAUCCGGUUCACUUUAACACUGAGGCGUGAUGACGAGGCACUACGGUGCUGAAGCAACAAAUGCCCUGCUUCCAGGAAAAGCCUCUAAGCAUCAGGUAACAUCAAAUCGUACCCCAAACCGACACAGGUGGUCAGGUAGAGAAUACCAAGGCGCUUGAGAGAACUCGGGUGAAGGAACUAGGCAAAAUGGUGCCGUAACUUCGGGAGAAGGCACGCUGACACGUAGGUGAAGUGAUUUACUCACGGAGCUGAAGUCAGUCGAAGAUACCAGCUGGCUGCAACUGUUUAUUAAAAACACAGCACUGUGCAAACACGAAAGUGGACGUAUACGGUGUGACGCCUGCCCGGUGCCGGAAGGUUAAUUGAUGGGGUCAGCGCAAGCGAAGCUCCUGAUCGAAGCCCCGGUAAACGGCGGCCGUAACUAUAACGGUCCUAAGGUAGCGAAAUUCCUUGUCGGGUAAGUUCCGACCUGCACGAAUGGCGUAAUGAUGGCCAGGCUGUCUCCACCCGAGACUCAGUGAAAUUGAACUCGCUGUGAAGAUGCAGUGUACCCGCGGCAAGACGGAAAGACCCCGUGAACCUUUACUAUAGCUUGACACUGAACAUUGAGCCUUGAUGUGUAGGAUAGGUGGGAGGCUUUGAAGUGUGGACGCCAGUCUGCAUGGAGCCGACCUUGAAAUACCACCCUUUAAUGUUU